GAGACUCUGUGCCGAGCCCUUCCUUGUCAUCACUGCAUUUGAAAAUAUUUACUUGGCACCUCUCCAGGCUACAUAAGGUCUGUGCUCUUAAUUAGACCCUCGAAAGACUAAUCUCCAGAUCUGU
Molecule: non-coding RNA, 124 nt
Organism: Pseudonaja textilis
Lineage: Eukaryota; Metazoa; Chordata; Lepidosauria; Squamata; Elapidae
Source: RefSeq, a predicted model, not a curated record